UGGGCCUAACAAUACUAUCCAAAUUAUAGUGAAUAGUAAGACGCUUCUAUUACUUCACAAAAAUUCCUUAAAUAUUUAAUCCUUGCCCCACACCUCUGGGAACUAAAUUCUCCUCCCCCCUCCCUCCCCCCGCCCACAGCUAUUGUGCCGCACAAAACAUGAUUUCAAAUAACUUCGAGCUGCUGCCAUCUAAGUUUUCUUAAUUUCUAAUAUAAUCGUCUACCAAACAUAUAGUGAUAUUUCUUGGAUCUCUCCCCCAUUUCUUUUAUAUCUCCCCCCCCCCUGGUCAACUUGGCAAUACGGUACUAUUCUACGUGUGAACAAUAACCCCAAUAGUAUCAUCUACAGUGACUACUACACAUGCACACAAUGUGAUUUCAAAAAAACUUCGAGAUGCUAUUAAGUAAGUCUUAUCAAUUUUUAAGACAAUCGUCCACAAAAUAUAUUGAGACUUUUUAAAUCAAUCCCCUCCCCCCUUAUUUCAAUGUUGAGACCUAC
Paramuricea clavata is the source of this 498-nucleotide non-coding RNA. The record is from the annotation of a GenBank genome assembly. NCBI's taxonomy places the organism in Eukaryota, Metazoa, Cnidaria, Anthozoa, Malacalcyonacea, Plexauridae.